Molecule: long non-coding RNA, 2011 nt
Organism: Solanum tuberosum (potato)
Lineage: Eukaryota; Viridiplantae; Streptophyta; Magnoliopsida; Solanales; Solanaceae
Exons: 2
Source: RefSeq, a predicted model, not a curated record
CAAUAAAUAUCCCCACAAUCUGAAAUUUCUGGAUGGAGAUGAAAGUUUCCAGCUGCUAGAAAAGAGAGCUUUUGGCGUUAGCCGUUGUCCUAUUGAGUUAGUAGAACAUGGAGAAGCCAUUGUAGUAAAAUGUAGUGGAGUACCACUUACAAUUGUGGUAAUUGCAGGAGCUUUAAGAGGUCGUACAUGCGAAAUUGAUUGGAGAGUAGUUAGGGAAAAUGUGGGGAAGCACCUUAUACAAGAAGACAAACUUCAGAGAUGUGUGAAUGUUGUGAGACUGAGUUACAAUCAUUUGCCUCAAGAAAAAAAGGCUUGCUUCUUGUAUUUUGGUGCCUUUCCUCAAGGAUUUGAUAUCCCCGCUUGGAAAUUAUUCGACUCUGGAUUGCUGAGGGACUCAUAAUGUCCAGGUUGUCGAGCAACGAAAUUAAAGAGAUAGCAGAGUAUUAUCUCAAUGACUUUGCCAACAGAAACUUAUGGUGAUGGGAAGGACGUCUAAUGAUCGAAUAAAAACAUGUCGUGUUCACGACAUGUUACAUGAGUUUUGCAUUGAAGAGGCUACUAGAUUGGCUCUUUUCAAACAAGUAUGUCUCACAUCUGAUCAAGACAUACAAAACUCAAUUACUUGUCGUCGAGUGUCUAUUCAAUCAUCUGUUCCUCAAAAUUUCAUCUCAAAAAAGACAGUUGAAGAACAUGUUAGGUCAUUGUUAUGUUUUUCCUCAAAACAAAAACAAGUUGACUUUUCUAAUAUCGACGUCAAAUUCUUCCCUAAUGCAUUUCCACUAAUGAGAGUCUUAGACAUUGAAUCCCUCAAGUUUAGUAUUCCAAGGGAAUUUUACCAGCUAUUGCACUUGAGGUAUAUGCACAAACUCUUAUUCUGAAUACUUCCAAGCCCACCCUUGAUAUAAAAGCUGACAUAUGGAACAUGCCACGUUUACGCCAUCUGCGCACCAACAAACCUGCAAUCUUGCCACCCCCUACAAGUGGUAGUAGUACAAAUUCUUGUUUGUUGCAAACUCUAUCUCUGGUUACACCAGAAAGCUGCAAGGGAAAUGUUCUUUCAAAGGCUGGUAAUGUCAAAAAAAAUGAGUAUUGAAGGUAAUUUGACGCCUUUUCUUGAAACUAGCAAGGGUGAAUUUUUCAGCAAUUUUCAAGUGCUAAAGCUCCUGGAAAGUUUAACACUGCUAAAUGAUAAUAAGAGUAAUAAAUCUCUUCACCUUCCGUCAGCAUUCUCCAAAUGUUUACCAAAUUGAAGAAGUUAACUCUGUCAAAAACAAGGUUUGACUGGAACCAGGCAUAUAGAUUGGGGCAGGUGAAAAAUCUCCAGGUCCUAAAAUUGAAAGAAAAUGCAUUCACGGUGAUGUCCUGGAAGAUGGAGCCGGAGGGUUUCAAGAAACUUCAGGUCUUGUGGAUUGAAAUGGCAGAUUUCGUGUCGUGGGAGGCAUCAAACUGUCCCUUCCCAAGACUUAGGAGCCUUGUCCUGAUCUCCUGCCUUAACCUUGAGGUUGUGCCACUUGAGCUUGCCGAUUUGGAUUACCUUCAAGAGAUGACGUUGGACAACACAAGCAAAGCAAGCGAAUCUGCAAGAAAAAUAGAACGCGAGAAAAAGAAGAAGCAAGCUGAUCCAGAAAGCGGCAAAUUCAAGCUCACUAUUCCCUACUGAAGCUGAUUUCAAUGCCACAAAGUGAAGUUGUUAUGAGGAGCGUAUCGAGGCAUGAUGAUGCAUUUGCAGUCUCAGUUCAUCUGAUUACUAGUUCCAAUAAAGAAACUUGUUACAAGUAUUGUUUGUUGAUUCAAACAUUGUCAUGUUUGAAAUCAUUUCCCUGGAUGGUUCUGAAGAUGUUUUAAAUUAAUGAUUUGAGUGUUUUCUUUCAUGUAAACUGUUUUGAACAAGUAUUUUUUGUGUUUUCUUUCGGUAUUGAAUAAUUUGUUUAAUCUGUAGUUAAUAUUUGGAUAUCUAUGUAUUGUUCAAAGACAUGUUAUUUGUUAGUUAUGAAUCUUAUUUCGUGUGUAA